RNAcentral lists this long non-coding RNA (8286 nucleotides) under Homo sapiens (human). RNAcentral's name for it is "non-protein coding lnc-LMNTD1-6:1". Lineage: Eukaryota; Metazoa; Chordata; Mammalia; Primates; Hominidae. The record is from RNAcentral.
GACGGACCAGACAAUUUUGGGAAAUUAUUUUCAAACUGGAAAUGGGAGAAAACUUUCCUAAGUCACUCAGCUGGCGAGUGGUAAAGCCACCCUGGGAUCAUAGGUUUGUCUGACCCAGAGUCCAGGCUCUCAAGCACUAUAUUUGCUCUUUCAUGCUUCCACUGUGGGUAGAGUCCCAGGCCAUACUCUGGGCCGCUGCCCACUACAGUCAGAUCCUGCCUACCCAGUCUGUAAAAUGGAGCAUCUCUGCCCUUUCUUACUUCCCACUAUAGGGAGCAGUCCCCCUGACCAUGGGUACACACCCAGGAUAUGUGGCUUCUAGGGAAAUCUCCCUAAAGGGGAGCACCCAGGAGAGGCUGGAAAAUCAAAGCAUACCUGGCUGCCCACAGCCUUUGAUUUUGGUAGAAGGACCAUUCCAAUGGUUCAUCUCUCUCAGCAACAAUCAUUCUUAUUCCCCCUGGAUAAGGGGUCAGAGUUAGGGUCACCUUCUGGCUAUUCCAGUUAGAACUCCCUUCAUGCAAAAAGGCUGAACUCCUCUGCCCAAAUUUCUCCCAUAGAAGUAGGUAGAUGCUAUAAGUGAAUUCCAUAAAGAAGAUCCUUGAAGAGAAUAUAAUAGCAAAUAUAAUGAACACUGUUUUAUUUCCCCUAUGAAGAAGUAGUAACAAAAUAAUUUUAAGAUGAGGCCGGUCUUGAACUCCUGGGCUCAAGACAUCCUCCAGCUUCGGGCUCCCAGAGUGCUGGGAUUACAGGUAUGAGCCACUGUGCCCAGCCUGAUUUGUUAUCAUGUUAAAUUAUAAAGUAUAUAAUAGAGUCAGGCCAGUUAGAAUCCAUCCCUGACUUUCUGGAGCUGUCAGGAAAGACAUGCACUGUGAAGAGAGACAAACACCUGAGAUGCGUGAACACUUGGAUCCUGCUCUGCCAAAGCUAGUAAUGCCUUGAAUGUCCAGAUAUGUGGGCCUUAAUUUUUGUUUUUGCUUAAACUAAUGUGAAGUUGUGUUACUGUCCCUCUCAAAUAAAAUUACCUCAUUAAUACACCUAACUCAAAUAGUGGUAGCAAUAAGUAACUAAUUUUUAAUAGUAACAGAAAAAUGUGCUAAUUAGGUAGAAAUUGUAAAACAAAGAAAUGUAUGCUUAUCAGGGUUGGGCAUGGGGCCCAUGCCUGGAAUCCCAGCACUUUGGGAGGCUGAGGCAGGAGGAUCACUUCAGCCCUGGAGUUCAAGACUAGCCUGGGCCCCAUCUCUACAAAAGAAGACAAAACUUAGCUGGGCAUGGUGGUAUGCACCUGUGGUCCCAACUACUUGGAAGGCUGAGGUGGGAGGAUCGCCUGAGCUCAGGAAGUUGAGGCUGCGAUGAGAUACCAUCGUGCCACUGCAUUCCAGCCUGGGCAACAGAGUAAGAUCUGAACUCAAAAAAAAAUAAUAAUAAUAAUGCACAUCAAAAAGCACGAGAAGCAGAAUAUAUUUUUAUUAGAUCAUUUCAAAAUUCAGGUAGGAUUAUAGAAUUUUAGUCCUGUAGAGAUUAUUUCUUUCAACCUUCUAAUUUUAAAUUUAUAGUUAAGAGAACUGAGUUCCAGGAGGAAGCAUCUAAAAUAUUUAAUAAAGAUUAUUGGUAAAUGCUUCCAUGGGAUCAUAAUAAUGGAAAUGAGCAAUGACCUGCUGAAGGAUCUUAAAAGAUUUAAAUUUCUCAAGGCCCAAUAGUGAAAUCAUGAGCUUCAAGUCAGUGACAAGUUAAAAAAAAAAGAAAGCAUCCGAAUCAAUGCCAUUUUUCAUCCAAUUUAAUCCAAUCAAAAGAACCACAGGAAUGAAAUAGAAUGAAUCUAAUUUAGAAAUAGUUUAUUCCUUUUCCUUAAAAGUGAUGUCACCCUUCUUUCAACCAAGAAAUGUAGAAAAAAUCUACGAACAGACAUGCACCGAAAAAUAUGAGCCAGUUUAUUUAAUAUUAAAAUAUUUAUUUAAACUGAAAGACAGGAGCAGCCUCUUCAGGAAAACCCCUCUGGGGUCCUAUAAAAGUUCCAUGCAUUCUAAAGAUUGGGGACCAACGUAGCCUGUUCUUUGGGCUUGUUGUUCGGUGGAAAGAAUAUUUUCUUUGAUACUUUAAGUUUGAAGAACUGGUGUAUAUUUUAAUGCCACAUAUGUAAACAUACUUUUCAAAUUUCCUUAGAAGUUUAGGCAGGAGUAUAACUUUUUUGGGAGAGUGAGAUAAAAGAAGAUUCUUUUUAAAAGAGAAAAUGCAGUCAACAAUCAAGAAUAGAUGUUCUUCCGAUAAAAUAUUCACUGGAACCUGGGAAAUUUGAUUGUAAAUUUCCCUGUUGUCCUAAUAACUGAUACCUGUUUUAGCUGUGGUGGAAGGAGUGGCGAUAGAUCCUUCCACAAUGAAAAUAAAGCAGGAUUUGCCUAUUUUGUAAACAGAACAUUUACAUAUUUAAUUUUCUUCAGCUGAGAUUUACUUGUAUGUGUUUCUCUGUAAACUUGGGAAUAUUGAUUUAUUUUGUGAACACUGCUGGUUACAGACCAGUCCAUCUCAACUUCACACUAGUCUAUACCUAAAUUACUCCCAAUUGUUUUAGAGUUAAAUUUAUGUGACUGAAAGUCAUGUGGUACAAACAAACAAGAGUAAAGGAUUGUUACUGGAUUGAUGAGAUAAUUUGCUUUUUAAAAAAGUUGAAUUAUAAACUGUGGGCACUAGAAAUUUUAUUAUUUAGGUGGCUUUAAUUGCAUGAAAUUCUGAACACCUGUUUUCGAGGGACAGAUAUUUAUUUAAAAUUUUAACAUGCAUUUUCCACUCUGUCUUUGUAUUUCCAUGAUUGUCUUUAUCCAGUAAUAUGUUUUGCAAACUCUUUCCUUAGUGCAGGGAUUGCAAAAACUGUCAUGAAUUAAAUAUGUCAUCUAUGAAGUAUACCUAAUCUAUAAGCCAACAUCAUGUAAUGCAGCUUAAUCUUGAUUUUCUUUGACAGUUGUAACAAAAAUUGUUUUUUAUUUUAAAAAAUAUUAAUUUAGUUGUUUAUUCUUCAAAGGAAUAACAAACACCUGACUGAAAUGAACCUUUGGUUAAAAUUAUGGAUUAGCAUCAUCUUACCUUUAAUUUCUAAGCAACUAUCAGUAUUUUCAUGUUACCAAAGUCUAUCAAGUCAUUAGGAAAAAUGACCAAACCCAUUGUUUGUUAUCAUGGAGACCAAACAGCUGGCUGACUUAGAUAAAGAUUUCACUCUUCUGUAAACUGAUCGUGUGACAAGCUGGAGUCACAACAGAGGAUUUGGAGAUGCUGAAUUUGUCUUUAAACACUACACUUGGAAAAAAAUAAAAACUAGAUCAUCUACAUUUUGAAAUACGCUUUUUAUUUAUUUCAGUCUUUCAUUCAUUUAUAAUCAUGAAUCUGAAUAGUGGAAUUAUGGGUUGGGGUUUUUUUUUGGGCAGCUUUGAAAGGUUUUAAAAGAGAAAAGGAAACUAUCAGCCCUAUCUCUGAAAAACAAGGAAACACAAUGGAAAUAUUUUACAUCAUAUGGAGAUAAUACAUAAAUAGUAAAAGGACUGUGCUAUUAUAAGUCUAAAACACAGGGCACACUUCCUACUCUUUAUCUUAAGAUACAGACCCUUUGAUGGAGAGUAUUUGUAAUGAAAAUAAAGCUGAGCUAAUUGUUAGCUUUAAUUACUAAAGGUAACAGGAUACAGCAAACAGGGUCUCCUGAAAAAAAUGUUUGUGAGUACUGCUAACAGUGCUGCCAUCUUGUACAUAUAUUUAUGUAUGCUUGUGUAUUUCAGAAGAGAUUGUUGUGCAUUCAACAAAUAUUCACAUUUUAAAAGUAAACAGAUCUGAAAAUGACAUUCAAAUAACAGCAAAUACUUAAAUUGUGCCUAAUAUAUGAAAGGCACUGUUCUAAAAAUUUUUCAUUUAUGAACUAAUGUAAUCUUUACAGCAACUCUACAGGGUACAUAUUAUUCUUUUCCAUAUUUUACAGAUGAGGAAACUAAGACACAGAGAGGUUAGUUCAAUUGCCCUAGUAAGUGACAAAGCCAGGAUUUGGACCCAAACAGUUUGGUUCUAGAAUCCUGGAUCUUGCUGUAUCUCUAGUAUUGAAAAUGACCCAUGGACCACAAUAUGUAUUUCUCAGUUCCAUCAUAAUUUUAUUUUUAGUUGUCUUUAUUAUUUGGUCAAAUUAAUGGCAAGUGAAUAUGAAUUAGGUAUUUUUUACUGUAAAAAGAGAGCACUAGUGAAAUUCAUUUGAUCAAGCUUCAUAGCAAACCUUGGCUAUUCUUACUCAAUUAAUUUUCUUAGUUUGACUUCACAAAUUCAUUUCUUAGCCUUCUUUUUUUCUUUCUGAGACUCAAAAGAACAAUAUCCCUUUUUUAUUCCUACUAAAGCUAGAAUUGUAAUGGAUGAAUCAAGGUAAUUUUUCCCAUUUCUUUGACUUGUCUUGAUUUUGGCCACAUUUUCUGCUUUUUCCUCCCUUCCUUCUUUGAUGAAGGACAGUGAUGCUUUUGUUCUAUCGUCUAAGAAAGUAGCAUAGAAGCAAACAAAAAAGAAAAUGAGAACUUACUACUCCCACCCACUCCUGGGUUUUUAUGCGUCAUCUUGUUUGUCCUAUGCAGUAGUGCAUGACUCAACAAAUAUGGACAAGGUCUGAAAAUUCUGUUGGCACUUCAUAAAUAAUAAAUGGUAAUAACAGAGCAACCUGGCAAAAGCAGUUAUAUAAGCAAGAUGUAAACCUAGAUUAUAUACAAUUCAUGGUAUAAUGGGAAUUACUUUUCAGCUUUCUAGAGGUUGGCAAUAGAAAAUCAAGUUGAUACUUUAUAAUCUUUCAAGGCUCUUGUUCUAUUUUUCUUCUUUCAUAUUCUUUAGGUAUUGAUUGGCAUCUGGCAAUGCCUUUGGAAAUACAAUGAAUUCAAAAUAACUAAACAGGAGUUUGUGCAAAAAAUAAUUGUUAGUGGCCUGACUACAGUCUAUCAAUGUAGGCUUGUUCUAUUUACUACCACCUGGGAAGACAUGGAAUUUCUGUGUGUAUAUACAAAUAUAGUGAUAUUUAAUUCAUAGAUUUAUCAUAACCAUCAUCAUCAUCACUACAUUUAUCAUUAUCAAAGUGAUAAUGGUAAUAUCACAAAUUACCAUAGUCAUAAUUUUCAUGAUUAUGUGAGGUUUUUGCAUAUCCACCAUUUGUUAUAAUUCAUUUUCUAGUGAUUAAAAAAAUCAUUGCUAGGUGUGUAAUUAAAUGUCAGUGAAUCUAUAUAAUUAAUCUGUAUUUUGUAAUAAACACUACAAUCUCAACCUCACAUAAAUCCAUGAAUUAAGAACUGUAUCUUUGGCAAAUAUAUAUGAGAAAAGGUGCACAAAUAUUUUCUAUAAUGUAAAUAUGAAGUUUAUUUAAGCAAUACCAGUCAGAAGGGCAGAAAAAUAAAAAUGAUGCAGGCAGAAGGAUUGAUAGCAUUCACAGGGACAGAGGCAGGAGUAUUUAUAAUGUUCACCGUCACAGAAGAAAAUACAGAGUAAGAUGGACCAUGAAAAUGAAAACAUCAGAAUAGAGUGAGGAGAAAUUCAAUAAAGACAAGAAGAUUUAGAGACUUGAAAGGGAGGCUUGGAACUAUUUAUCGCUUUGCUAUAGAAAGCAGUGGAACCAAAUAAAGAAUAAAAUAAAAAAUAAGGAGGUUGGAGAAGGAGAUAUUCUAGGGAAUUUAGAUAAGGAAUUUGAGUCUGUUGGGAAUGGGAGUGUUUGGAAAUAUACAUACAUCUCCUCUCCGUUCAAUUUCACGCUUGCGGGAGCACAGAUGGGAAACUAAAAAGAAAAAGAAAGGCAAGACCUUUAGUGGGGUUUCUCAGGGUGUUACCUCAUGAGUAUUGUUCUCGAAGGAAGAUUGCUUUCUAUGCUCUUUAGCUUUUAUUUUACUUUACUCCAUAAUGGAAUUUAGAUAAAUUCCCUGUGUAACAUCUUCAUAGACACAAGUUUUAGAAAAGCCCACUAUUUCCCUUUCUCUAUAGCAUAGCUUUGUGGUGGACUAUUGUCAUGCACAGCCUUCUGUGUGAGGACGUCUUAACUCAACUCCUAAGAAGUCCUGGGCUUAAAUCCUUCUUCUUCAAGCUACUAGCAGUGUCACUGAGAAGUCCUAUAGGCUUCAGUUUCUUUACCUGUAAAAUUGGGAAAACAACUGUACUUAACGCAUAGGUUGUUGUGAGAUAUCAGAUAAGCAUAAUGCAUGGAACAGUGAAUGUUCAACAGCUGAUGUUAUUUCUUUAAUAUGAACAAUCUUAUAACCAUCAAUAUAGUCUUUACCUACCUGUUAUUAAUACUUUGCUUAAUGGCUUAGCAUUGUACUGAUGGAAAGCUCGCUCUGCCUAAACAAGCGUCAAAUUUAUUCUGGGCAUGAUGGGGACUUUCACCUGAUUUUGUUGGUUUACAAAGAUAAAGAAAUUUAGUGCCUAUUUGUGAUAAUGUAAAAAUUACUAUGUAUCAGAGAAAAAGGCAUAUCAAAGAAACCUAUUUUUUAGAAAUGCAUAGAAACCAAUCAAUGUGACCUUGAGACUUUAGCAAGAUGAAGUUUGAGACAUCAUGUGGUCAUGAAGAUGGAGGAUGCAGUGAGGCAGGGCAGGCUAGGGUGGUGAAUAUACCUCUGGGACUCUUCUUGGCCUAACUUGAUCCUGCUCUAAUUGAAAACAGGAGCAUAAUCAAGAAAAUGGCUCUUGUGAUUUAAAAAAAUAAUGACUUUUACUAUGUAUAUAUUAAUAUACAUAUAUGACCAUAUAUUUACAUAAAUAUUAAAUAUUUAUAAAAUAUUAAAUAUAUAUACAACUUGAUUAAUUAUUAUAAUGGAAAAACUCAUGAAACCACUAUCCGGACAAAGAAAUAGAACAAUGCCAGCACUCCAGAAACUGUUCAUGUGUCCUCCUCAACAACAAUUCCUUUUCCUGCCUUAAAUACUGUUGUGACAUCUAUAGUAAUUACUUCUUUAAUAGUUUUUCAUAAAGAAAGUUAUGUGAUAUUUGUUAAUUCUAAACUUUAAAAAAGUAUUAUGUAGUGUGAUCCUGAUUUGUGCAUAAUAGCAGAAGUGUGCUAAAUUGUGGGUGUCAAUUUUAAUUUGUGGAUGUCUUUACCUACCUUGGUUUUGCUUAAUGCUAUGUUAACUUAAUAGAGAAUGUUUUUCUAUGCUGGGACCAGAUUUAUUUAUAUUAGUUUUGUUUAACUAUGAUUUGAGGUCAUUUGUGAUCUCUCACUCUUCUACUACUCCCAAUUGAAUGGAAGCUGAUUUUGUGACUUCUGAGUACUUACCAGGUACCAUACUGUAGUUGGCAUUCUGAUAAAUAUUCUUGCAUAGUAUAUUAUUUUAAAUUCCUUUACUUUCAACCGUUCUGUAUUUUGUAUAUGUUGGAAACAGAAUAUUGCUAUUUUUAGUAGUAUUUUAAAAUAUUUCUCUUAAUAAUUUUUCUAUUUUAAUUAGAAGAUUUUGUACAUUUAUGUUUAAUGUAAUUGACACUAUCCUUAGGUUUAAAACCACCAUUUUAAUAUUUAGUUUAUUCUUGUCUCACUUUGUUUAUGUUUUUUUUUUCUCUUUUUUUUCUUUUCAGAAACGAGGUGUCACUGUGUUGCCCCUGGUGGUCUUGAACUCCUGGGCACAAGUGAUUCACCUGCCUCAGCUUCCCAGAGUGUUGGGAUUACAUACAGGUGGGAGCUACUGUGCCCAGCCUGUUCAUGUUCUUUUUCCUCUUCUUUCUUCUCUUUAUUAUCUAUUCCGUUAUUAGCUUGAUGGCUAUACACUCUUUUACUAUUCUUUUAUUUGGUGAUUAAUCUAGAAAUUAAAACGUAGCCUUAAUUUAUUCCGAUUCUAUUUAAACAAUAUUUAAAAAUAUUUAUUAUUUAGUGCAGUCUGCUUAUAGUGAUUUUUCUUUUUUGGUUUGUCUGAAAAUGUCUUUUUUUCAUUUUUAAAGUACAUGUUGCUGGUUAUAGGUUGACAGCUAUUUUAUUUCAGUAUUUGAAUGAUAUUCUGUUGCCUUGUAGAUUCCAUUGUUGCAGUUGCUAUUUCAAAGGCAAUUUGUCUUUUUAUUUCUCUGGCUGAGUUUAAGAUUUUCUCUUUGUCUUUGAGUUUCAGUGGUUUUAUUGUUGUGUACCUUUAGGGUUGUCCUUUUUAUUUUUUUCUUGGAAUUUUUUAGAGUUUCUUCAAUCUUUAUGUCUUUCAUCAAUUUUGGAAAUUCUCAAUCAUUUUAUCUUUAAAUAUUGCUUCUACUCUAUUUUCUCUCUUCUCUCUAGGACUUCCGUAACAACAAUUGGAGCUUCUCAUGGUAUCGUCUAUGUCUCUUAUUUACUCA